This 421-nucleotide ribosomal RNA is filed under the name uncultured bacterium. Its description in RNAcentral is "bacterial SSU rRNA". It matches the Rfam family "Bacterial small subunit ribosomal RNA", at positions 355 to 776 of the family's 1533-position model. The record is from RNAcentral.
UGGGGAAUAUUGCGCAAUGGCCGCAAGGCUGACGCAGCGACGCCGCGUGGAGGAUGAAGCCCCUCGGGGUGUAAACUCCUGUUGCUCGGGACGAACCAUGGGUUUCGACCCAUCUGACGGUACCGAGUGAGGAAGCACCGGCUAACUCCGUGCCAGCAGCCGCGGUAAUACGGAGGGUGCGAGCGUUGUCCGGAAUCACUGGGCGUAAAGGGCGCGUAGGCGGUCUGGUAAGCGUGUGGUGAAAGCCCGGGGCUCAACCCCGGGUCUGCCGUGCGAACUGCCGGACUCGAGCACUGUAGAGGCAGGUGGAAUUCCGAGUGUAGCGGUGGAAUGCGUAGAGAUUCGGAGGAACACCGGUGGCGAAGGCGGCCUGCUGGGCAGUGUCUGACGCUGAGGCGCGACAGCGUGGGGAGCAAACAGG